AGCUAUAAUAGUCUCUACUCCAAUACUUUCUCACAAAACAACACUGAUACAUUUUAAAGAUCUAAGUAUUGUUUCUCAUCUGAUUUAUAUAAUUUAUAUUAUUCUAAAAAUUUUAGUAUGUAAGUCAUAUAUAUAUAUAUAUGUUAUUUAAUUAAAAAGUAACAAAUGUUAUUCACCUUAAUGCAAUCACUAUUUUCUUUUCUUUUUUUUUUUUUUUUUUUUUGAGACGGAGUUUCGCUCUUGUUACCCAGGCUGGAGCACAAUGGCGCGACGUCGGCUCACCGCAACCUCCGCCUCCUGGGUCCAGGCAAUUCUCCUGCCUCAGCCUUGUGAGUAACUGGGAUUACGGUUCCAUAUGAAGUUCAUGGUGGUUUUUUCCAGUUCUGUGAAGAAAGUCAAUGGUAGCUUGAUGGGGAUAGCGUUGAUUCUGUAAAUUACUUUGGGCAGUAUAGCCAUUUUCACAAUAUUAAUUCUUCCUAACCAUGAACAUGGAAUGUUUCUCCAUCUGUUUGUGUGCUCUCUGAUUUUGUUGAGCAGUGGUUUGUAGUUCUCCUUGAAGAGGUCCCUUACGUUCCCUGUGAGUUGUAUUCCAAGGUAUUUUAUUCUUUUUGUAGCAAUUGUGAAUGGCAGUUCGUUCUUGAUUUGGAUUUCUUUAAGUCUGUUAUUGGUGUAGACGAAUGCUUGUGAUUUUUGCACAUUGAUUUUAUAUCCUGAGACGUUGCUGAAGUUGCUUAUCAGUUUCGGGAGUUUUUGGGCUGAGGCAAUGGGGUCUUCUAGGUAUACUAUCAUGUCGUCUGCAAAUAGAGACAAUUUGGCUUCCACCUUUCCUAUUUGAAUACCCUUUAUUUCUUUUUCUUGCCUGAUUGCUCUGGCUAGAACUUCCAGAACUAUAUUGAAUAGGAGUGGUGAAAGAGGGCAUCCUUGUCUAGUGCCAGAUUUCAAAGGGAAUGCUUCCAGAUUUUGCCCAUUCAGUAUGAUAUUGGCUGUUGGUUUGUCAUAAAUAGCUUUUAUUACUUUGAGAUACGCUCCAUCGAUACCGAGUUUAUUGAGGGUUUUUAGCAUAAAGGGCUGUUGUAUUUUCUCAAAUGUCUUCUCUGCAUCAAUUGAGAUAAUCAUGUGGUUUUUGUUUUUGGUUCUGUUUAUGUGGUGAAUUACGUUGAUAGACUUGCGUAUGUUGAACCGGCCUUGCA
This 1190-nucleotide long non-coding RNA is filed under the name Callithrix jacchus (white-tufted-ear marmoset). Its description in RNAcentral is "lncRNA (ENSCJAG00000073588.1)". The record is from RNAcentral. Lineage: Eukaryota; Metazoa; Chordata; Mammalia; Primates; Cebidae.